UUUAAUUGAAACCAAAUAGAGGUAUAUCACUGUUAAUGAUAUCAAUGAGACAAAUCUCCAAUUAA
RNAcentral lists this transfer RNA (65 nucleotides) under Elateridae sp. 2 ACP-2013. RNAcentral describes it as "tRNA-Asn". Lineage: Eukaryota; Metazoa; Arthropoda; Insecta; Coleoptera; Elateridae. The record is from RNAcentral.